GCGGACGUGAUUCAAUGGUAGAAUGAGAGCUUCCCAAGCUCUAUAUGGGGGUUCGAUUCCCCUCGUCCGCUCCA
RNAcentral lists this transfer RNA (74 nucleotides) under Candidatus Omnitrophota bacterium. Its description in RNAcentral is "tRNA-Gly". It matches the Rfam family "tRNA". From Rfam's summary of the family: Transfer RNA (tRNA) molecules are approximately 80 nucleotides in length. Their secondary structure includes four short double-helical elements and three loops (D, anti-codon, and T loops). Further hydrogen bonds mediate the characteristic L-shaped molecular structure. tRNAs have two regions of fundamental functional importance: the anti-codon, which is responsible for specific mRNA codon recognition, and the 3' end, to which the tRNAs corresponding amino acid is attached (by aminoacyl-tRNA synthetases). tRNAs cope with the degeneracy of the genetic code in two manners: having more than one tRNA (with a specific anti-codon) for a particular amino acid; and 'wobble' base-pairing, i.e. permitting non-standard base-pairing at the 3rd anti-codon position. The record is from RNAcentral. Lineage: Bacteria; Pseudomonadati; Candidatus Omnitrophota.